RNAcentral lists this long non-coding RNA (1020 nucleotides) under Cricetulus griseus (Chinese hamster). RNAcentral describes it as "lncRNA (ENSCGRG00015037925.1)". Lineage: Eukaryota; Metazoa; Chordata; Mammalia; Rodentia; Cricetidae. The record is from RNAcentral.
GCCACCUCAUGCUGGGUAACACGACUCAACACUUUCCCUCUGCCAUGGCAGCAGCACGAUCUACUGCAGGCAAUGUCACUCGAUAAACCAAGAGUUCACCAUCAUUUUGGCUGAGUUGUCCAGACAGUGAGCUUCCAUGGUUUCCCUGCCUCUAUUCUCCACUGCUGGAGUUGCAUACUUAUGCCACCAAGCCUGGCUUUAUGUGGAUUCUAGGGAUUCAAAUUUAGGCCUCAGAAUUGCAUAGCAAGCACUUUACCCACUGAGCCAUAUAGUCAGCCCCAUGGAUAAUAUCAUGUGCUGUCUCGCAGGGUCAGAGCCAGUCCACCAUUUAGGAUCGGCAUCUGCGAAGCGUCGUCUUGCCCGGGGAAGGAGGGGAAAAGGAGAACAAGAGACUAUUGCUGUUUUGUUUUUAAUCCAAUUGAGAAGAGAGAUCAUAUGGGAAACAAAUUCUUAAAUUUGAUGAAAUAAAAAAUAAAAUAAAAAACAUGAGGGAGAGUCCACUGAGACUAAGAUGGCCAGGAAAUUCUCCACCUUCCUCAAGAAUGCCCUGACAAAGGAGAUGGCUGCUGGUCAUUGCCACUGCUACAAAUCUUCCCUCACUCGGACCCUAACAAAGAGUCACCAUGAUCAACCCGGCCACACCCUACAGCUACCCAGUGCCCUUGGGAGAUAGUGGCAAAGUACCUGACAUACCCAGCCACACCCAGGACCUUCAGCCACACCCAGGAUCUUCAGGGCUCAAACCUGGAGAGUGUCUGGAGAACCUGUAAACACCCCCACUGAUGGAAGAAGUCCCCUUCCCUGUGACCCCGGUGAAAAUGUGAAAACCAACCCUCCACCUGAAAGGAGAUUAAUUGCAGCUCUUGGGAUUCUGAGGUGAGAGGAUGGAAAAUUUAUGGUCCACCUGAGCGGCAGCAAGUUUGAGUCCACCUUGGAGUACAAAAAAAAGACUGUCUCAAACACACACACACACACACACACACACGCACGCACGCACGCACGCACGCACGCACGCACGCA